This 828-nucleotide ribosomal RNA is filed under the name uncultured bacterium. RNAcentral describes it as "bacterial SSU rRNA". It matches the Rfam family "Bacterial small subunit ribosomal RNA", at positions 8 to 828 of the family's 1533-position model. The record is from RNAcentral.
AGAGUUUGAUCAUGGCUCAGGAUGAACGCUAGCGACAGGCCUAACUCAUGCAAGUCGAGGGGCAGCACAAGGAUAGCAAUACUCUGGUGGCGACCGGCGCACGGGUGAGUAACACGUAUGCAACCUACCUGUAAGAGGGGAAUAACCCGGAGAAAUUCGGACUAAUACCGCAUAAUACUGUUUACCUGCAUGGGUGAACAGUUAAAUAUUUAUAGCUUACAGAUGGGCAUGCGUAUGAUUAGCUAGUUGGUGAGGUAACGGCCCACCAAGGCAACGAUCAUUAGGGGUUCUGAGAGGAAGGUCCCCCACAUUGGAACUGAGACACGGUCCAAACUCCUACGGGAGGCAGCAGUGAGGAAUAUUGGUCAAUGGGCGAGAGCCUGAACCAGCCAAGUCGCGUGAAGGAAGAAGGUUCUAUGGAUUGUAAACUUCUUUUGUAAGGGAAUAAAAAAGGCCACGUGUGGCUUCUUGUAUGUACUUUACGAAUAAGGAUCGGCUAACUCCGUGCCAGCAGCCGCGGUAAUACGGAGGAUCCGAGCGUUAUCCGGAUUUAUUGGGUUUAAAGGGUGCGUAGGCGGACCCGUAAGUCAGUGGCGAAAGUUUGCAGCUCAACUGUAAAAUUGCCAUUGAAACUACGGAUCUUGAGUGUAAAUGAGGUAGGCGGAAUGUGUUGUGUAGCGGUGAAAUGCUUAGAUAUAACACAGAACACCAAUUGCGAAGGCAGCUUACUAGAAUACAACUGACGCUGAGGCACGAAAGCGUGGGGAUCAAACAGGAUUAGAUACCCUGGUAGUCCACGCAGUAAACGAUGAAUACUAGCUGUAUGCG